Molecule: long non-coding RNA, 4637 nt
Organism: Trachemys scripta elegans
Lineage: Eukaryota; Metazoa; Chordata; Testudines; Emydidae
Exons: 2
Source: RefSeq, a predicted model, not a curated record
UUAUUGGCUGGGCUGGAGAAAGCAAACAGCGCACCCUUGGAAGGAAUUCUCCCCUUGUUUUGGCUGCCGAUCCAGGCCUGGCUUUUCUGGCUGCGAGGGAGCGACUGGAAAGCAGGUUCUCAGAGCAAUCACUCUGUGCUGUCAUCCGUCCAUCUCUCUGUUUGUCCUGUAUCCAGUACCCUGGCAAAUAUUGCUCUGGGAUAGUGAGGGAGAGGGCGGCCUGGUUCCCAGCUGCUGCGGAGGCCUGGAGUUUUGUUAUCCCAGCUGAUCUGGUACAUCUUUGCGGGGAGUUAGAGCUGGCUGGACCUCUUGGAAAGGAGCAGAACUCUAUCUGCUGGCCGAGCCCCAGGGGGAAGGGGCUGGAGGCUACUCCCCCAAAGGAAUCUUGGACCAGUUGUACCAUCUCAGUUUGCCAGGACACAGAAGGGCUGAUUUUCCACGUCCUGCUCAGAUGGAUUCUGGCUGUUGACUUAUUUAGCUCCCAGAAUUGCCGGAGAGGGAGGGCAGAUGGUCUGAUGGUUAUAGAACUUAACUGCGAAUGGAGCUCUGCCCCUUUUCUAGCCCUGCCUCUGUACAUCAUGGAACCUCACCGGGUCUCAGUUUGCUCCACGGUGGAAAGGACCCUCCUGGGGACGUUGUGAGCCUAAAUUCGUUCAUCUUUUCCAGGUGCUUUGAGAUCCUCCGAAGGAAGGUGCUGCAGAAGUGCACAGUGCUAGUGUUAUCCAGGGAUGCUGUCGGGGCUUUCUGAAGAAAGUAACAUUUUUGGCUUAAACGGGUCGACAGUGUCCCUGUCCCUUGGAGCCACUCAACUCAUGCUAACUUUCCCAGUCACACCCCACAAUGUGCGAUUGCUGCCUAAAGGCACGUCUGGUCUGGAGGGCUACAACUGCAACCCAGCGGGGAAAACAUUAGCUCAGGGUUAUGGCUCUUUUCUCCCGUCCCUACUUUCUGAGGGAUAAACCUUGCAGGUGUCAGGGUAUUCCAGGCACAUGGCUGGGUAUGGAGGAGAUCUCUCAAAGCUUUGAGCUGAAAGCCUGGAGGGUUGGUUCCUUUUUUUUUUUUUAAUCCUUGGCUAUUUGCAGCUAUGGGUGCUCCGGACUCAGUGAACGACCCAGCUUGGAUGGCAUAGCCCUACAGAACGCUGCCCGUCCUGAGAGACCCCAGCUGGGGCAGCCAGCGCGUGUGCAGAACAUUUCAGGGCAGCUUUGUGUAGUCGAAAGGAAGGGAGCUCCAGCAGCUUUCUCUCCUGACUAACUGUGGGUGAUGUAAUGGCUGACCCAGGCCAACGGAGUCCCCAGCUACCACUCAACGACUCAGAUAUUUUUGGCCGACACACGCGUCCCUGUUUAUUUUUAUAACAGUGCUCUGUGAAUUUGAGGGCUCAGGAAGGUGAGGGGCUUAGAGCUGCGACCAGGUAGGUUCUGUGCAAGCUUCGCCCACACAUGCAGCUUUACCAGGGCACCUCUGUCCUGACCUGCGUGUCUCUUGCCUUCCCGGGCAGUGAGUGUCCAUCAUGUUGCUCUCUGCUGUGGUUUGGAUUAGGCUGAGACUGGGACUAGUUUAAUUUGUGACCGAAACUAGUUCGGGACCCUGGUCUGGAAGGAAGGUUUGCUUGUAUUUAUUUAGCAAACACGUGCUCACAUUUAUGUUCAGAUCUGCUCACAUGGGCAUCUGUCCAUGUUAUCAUGAAAAUGAUAGCAAGUAUACGAUGUGUGUGCCUAUGGUGGGGAGGUGCUAUGUAUUUACUUUAGGAUUAUCUAGAUCUUAUCCUGCUGCUAGAUAUAGCACAGCAUGUAUCAGCCCUAAAAAUUUAAGCAUGAUCUUUAAUAUAGCUACCGCCUAGCUUUAUUCCCAUGGGACAUCUAUUGCUGGUCCACUCUGCAGCUGUCCAGGUAGCACAGAAGUGAUUACGCUGUAAAUUUCCUUUAGUUCUGUCAAUCUUGCAUAGAUAAUCUAAGCACUAAUUGAAUGAGCCCUUACUGGUAAAUAGUGUCAGUGAUUUCCUACUUCCUACCAGUUCUUUGCACACCCGUCCUCUCUGUGGAGAAUACACACAGCACUAGACAAAGCGAUAGCAUCACUUUUUUGUCUUACUUCCAUCUCAACCAAUCCAACCGUCAUGUUUGGUAGGGGCCAGAAUUUGACCUUCCAUGUUUUUUCCCCCUUGCGUUGAUUGGUAAAGUCCAUGGCCAAGAUUUUCAAGAGAGGUGAGUGACUUUGACUCCCGCAUACCUUUGCCCUGAAAAUCAGGUCCCUUGACAGUCUUGAGGUAGGCAUCCAAAAUAGAAAGACAGACAGAAUCACUGAUCUCGUGAGAAGAACUUGGCUUAGGUCACUCUCAAUUAAAACAUUUCACAUCAAAGUCUUCAUUGUUCUCUUGUUCUAAAAAUAAUUUAUAAAGGGCAGGGGGAGGGGGAACCCAACCACUAAAACCAACAAGAUGUAUUGCCAGCCAUCCAGCCUGCCCCUCAAAAUAAGCCCUCCAAUGACAAACCAGCACAAGGCCAACAACAUGUCCACAAGAAAAUAGAAUUCACAGGGACUCUUCAACUCUGGUGUGUGUGUGUGUGUGUGGUGGUGGCAGGGUUCAUGAAACCCAUGUGUGUUUUUUGUGGGGUGAGAGAGAACUAGUUUAAUCCCACAGUGUCGGCUGGUCCCUGCUCUAGAUAAAGGAUGUGGCAGAAUUGACUCAGAAUAGCACGGGCAAGAGGGCUUUGCAAAAGAAAGAAAUGCAGAAAAUCCCGACUCCCAAGGAGGAAGAACGGGCGGGUGGAGGAGGGGCUUUAGAAUAAAUUGCUUACAUUAGAAAUUAAUUAAUUCUCUUAACUGGGUUUAUCCUUGUUCCUUCAUAGAGUCCUAACAAAUGUCAACAUUAAUAUCGCUCUGGAGAUAACACUCUGGUGAUCACGGUACUCUACUAAUAGAGCUGAGACGUCAUGAACCCCUGGGGAGCAGUAGUACUAAUGGAGAUCAUUAAUAUUUUGUGACAUCGGGUUACCAAGAACUGAUUCCAAAUCUACGGCAAAUAACCUUUGAAUAACAAAGAGCAGCACAACUUUCCAACGCCCAAGAGGCCGGGGAAGCCCACGUUAGACAUUCAUGCGUUCAGAACGCCCAAAUCACACAGGGAAGGGGACUGAUCCUGGCACGUGCCGAGCACUCGGGCUCUGGUUCAACAAAAUACUUUAAGCAGGUGAGGAGACCCGUUGACUCAUGGCACUGCGAUUAGGGCCCAGCCAAAGGUGCGACCCACAGUCUGGGCUCUUUAAAAUGCUACCUGUUCUGUAGGGAAACGGUUUCUUUGAUCCAGGAAUGUAGUGUUAUUCAAUGAGAUUCAUCGUGCAGCGGGAAUGUUAAGGUGCAAGGUUUGUGACUGCAGUUCAUGGGGGAAUUAGCUUUCAAGUGGCACUUGGCACGACCUUCCACUCUUAGAAGUUGACCGGGGUGCUCAGCUUUGACCUCCCAAGGAGGAUGACAAGAAACAGACAGUGUCAGCUCGUUUAGUGUCACGGUUUCAAAUAAUUAUCUUUUAUUACGAGAGACUCGUCAGAUUGCUCACACUGUGGCAAGAAUUUAAUAAUAAAAGGCACCGGGGAACAUUCAGACGUAAAAAGUUCUCAGCCUGCGAGAUCUAACCAUCUCCUGUGAGUCUGUACGAGACCCGCUCCAUAAAAACCCCAACUAAAACAAAACAAAACUGAAACACCACAACAGCUUCCAAAAAAAAGCAAACACGUGCUUGUCUAUGUCACGCGCAUCUUUCUGAGCAGGGGCGUCACCUCCACAUCGAACAGAACGUCCCUGGUGGAGCAGGGCUGGAAUUUAAGAGUGCCAGAGGCAGUGAUGGGAAGUGACAUGGGGAGACGUGUAAUGUCGCGAAAGCCACGGAAAGCAUUGUCUUGGUAACAGCAAGAUCAAAUAAAAAUACCACCACCAAACACGUCAGCACCAAAAGCUAACUUUAAAGCAUGGAAAACACAAGAACAGUACAAUCACCGAGUAAUAAUAAAGCAUGUAGCAUUUUCAAACCUUUAUUUUUAGAGGGGAUUUUACAUGAUGGUUUUUUUUUAACUUGUGCGUUUUUUAAAAACUAUUUGUGCCCAAUUAUUAAUAAAUUCAAGCCCUGGGAAUUUAAAUAUUGCCAUUCUGGAUCUUCAGUGUCUAUCCCACUCCCUUCUCCAUCCUCCCUAACAGGAACUAAAAUCCAGCACCCCAAACUUUCACCACCACUUGCUCCACUAAACUUUGGAAAGCCCAAUCUUCUAACAUCCUCUGGAUACAUCUUCCCUCACUUGCCGUCUGGAAAUCAGGGAGUUAAUCCUCUGGGAUGGCUUUGCUUUACAUUGAAAGAUCUGAAGAACAUAUAAGUAAGGAGUUUGAAAAAAAAAAUCCAAGAGUGGAUAAGAAGAGGGAGUAGCUAUUUAGCACAGGAACAGGGCUGGUUAUUGUAACUUUGUUGUCGAAUCAGAGAGCAGAGAAGAACACGCUGAAAUGGAUGCGUGAGCAGAGUAUUCUAGUGGUAUUCAUUAGGCUACUAACAAUAAGUUGUUGUCUCUUUUAGCACCGUUAAUAUACGUUUAGAUCUAUAUUAGCACCUUGUCCCCAGGGGAAAAAACAAAACAAAAAAGGUUUAAAAA